Molecule: non-coding RNA, 32 nt
Filed under: Mus musculus (house mouse)
Lineage: Eukaryota; Metazoa; Chordata; Mammalia; Rodentia; Muridae
Source: RNAcentral
UAGAUGUUUGUCCUCAAGUUGCCUUAUUGAGU